AGCAAAACUGCCGCCGGCGUGUCCUGUGCGGCCAGCCGUCCCUCCACCGCGCGCUGCGGGCUGCCACUCCAGGACCGUGCUUCAGACAGGUCCGCUCCCCCAUCCGCGAAACACUGAUGUCUCUGUGGCUGACUCUAGGCUCUUUCUUCGGUCUCGAAGCUGGAGUCACGGAAGGCUAGUUCCUCCUGAAGGGAUUCGGAGAACAAUCUGAUGCACAGCUUCGUGUUGUUCUGCAGAAGCCAAGACCCCUCACACCCAGGUACGUGCUGAUCACAAGCACAUGAACCUCAGACUAGCUGAAACUAAAGAAUGAUGAUGAAGAUUCCUGAAACAUCACCCUCUUACUUCUCCACCAACUAAUCAGAAGAAAGUCCAUGAGCUGAUCACGCACCUGGCAACCCUCAC
RNAcentral lists this long non-coding RNA (405 nucleotides) under Sus scrofa (pig). The record is from RNAcentral. Lineage: Eukaryota; Metazoa; Chordata; Mammalia; Artiodactyla; Suidae.